AUUGAACGCUGGCGGCAUGCCUAACACAUGCAAGUCGAACGGAUGCACGGGUGUUUCUACUGGAUUCAGCGGCGCGCGGGUGAGUGAUGCCUAUGAGUCUGCGUGGUGGUGGGGGGUAACGUCCGGCGACAGGCGCUAUUACAGCAUACGUGCUGUAGGGGAAAAUGGGGGGUCUUCGGACCCCUCGCGAUCAGGUGAUGCGAGGUCGGAUUAGCUAGUUGGUGGGGUAAAGGCCUACCAAGGCGACGAUCCGUAGCUGGUCUGAGAGGAUGAUCAGUCACACUGGAACUGAGACACGGUCCAGACUCCUACGGGAGGCAGCAGUGGGGAAUAUUGGACAAUGGGCGAAAGCCUGAUCCAGCCAUGCCGCGUGUGUGAAGAAGGUCUUCGGAUUGUAAAGCACUUUUAGCUGGGAGGAAGGGCAGUAAGUUAAUACGUUGCUGUUUUGACGUUACCAGCAGAAUAAGCACCGGCUAACUACGUG
RNAcentral lists this ribosomal RNA (484 nucleotides) under uncultured bacterium. Its description in RNAcentral is "partial 16S ribosomal RNA". It matches the Rfam family "Bacterial small subunit ribosomal RNA", at positions 30 to 507 of the family's 1533-position model. The record is from RNAcentral.